UGUUGACCUCGGAUCAGGUAGGAAUACCCGCUGAACUUAAGCAUAUCUAAA
RNAcentral lists this ribosomal RNA (51 nucleotides) under Fusarium proliferatum. RNAcentral describes it as "partial 28S ribosomal RNA". Lineage: Eukaryota; Fungi; Ascomycota; Sordariomycetes; Hypocreales; Nectriaceae. The record is from RNAcentral.